This 254-nucleotide ribosomal RNA is filed under the name uncultured bacterium. Its description in RNAcentral is "partial 16S ribosomal RNA". It matches the Rfam family "Bacterial small subunit ribosomal RNA", at positions 524 to 776 of the family's 1533-position model. The record is from RNAcentral.
UACGUAGGGGCCAAGCGUUGUCCGGAUUUAUUGGGCGUAAAGAGCUCGUAGGCGGUUCGGCAAGUCGGAUGUGAAAUCUCCACGCUUAACGUGGAGGAUCCAUUCGAAACUGCCGUGACUCGAGUCCGGUAGGGGAGUGUGGAAUUCCCGGUGUAGCGGUGAAAUGCCCAGAUAUCGGGAGGAACACCAGUAGCGAAGGCUGCACUCUGGGCCGGUACUGACGCUGAGGAGCGAAAGCGUGGGGAGCGAACAGG